CCUACGGGGGGCUGCAGUGGGGAAUAUUGGACAAUGGGGGGAACCCUGAUCCAGCCAUGCCGCGUGGGUGAAGAAGGCCCUCGGGUUGUAAAGCACUUUCAGUGAGGAAGAACGCCUGGUGGUUAAUACCCAUCAGGAAAGACAUCACUCACAGAAGAAGCACCGGCUAACUCCGUGCCAGCAGCCGCGGUAAUACGGAGGGUGCGAGCGUUAAUCGGAAUUACUGGGCGUAAAGCGCGCGUAGGUGGCUUGAUAAGCCGGUUGUGAAAGCCCCGGGCUCAACCUGGGAACGGCAUCCGGAACUGUCAAGCUAGAGUGCAGGAGAGGAAGGUAGAAUUCCCGGUGUAGCGGUGAAAUGCGUAGAGAUCGGGAGGAAUACCAGUGGCGAAGGCGGCCUUCUGGACUGACACUGACACUGAGGUGCGAAAGCGUGGGUAGCAAACAGGAUUAGAUACCCCAGUAGUC
RNAcentral lists this ribosomal RNA (465 nucleotides) under Vreelandella stevensii. RNAcentral describes it as "partial 16S ribosomal RNA". It matches the Rfam family "Bacterial small subunit ribosomal RNA", at positions 338 to 795 of the family's 1533-position model. Lineage: Bacteria; Pseudomonadati; Pseudomonadota; Gammaproteobacteria; Oceanospirillales; Halomonadaceae. The record is from RNAcentral.